GACGAACGCUGGCGGCGUGCUUAACACAUGCAAGUCGAACGGGAUCCCAAGGCUUUUUGUUUUUGGUGCGAGUGGCGAACGGGUGAGUAACACGUGAGUAACCUGCCCCCUUCUUUUGGAUAACCGCAUGAAAGUGUGGCUAAUACAGGAUAUUCCAGGCUGGUCGCAUGAUUGGUUUGGGAAAUGGUUUGGUCUGGUGGGGGAUGGGCUCGCGGCCUAUCAGCUUGUUGGUGGGGUGAUGGCCUACCAAGGCGGUGACGGGUAGCCGGCCUGGGAGGGUGGGCGGUCACACUGGGACUGAGAUACGGGCCAGACACCUACGGGAGGCAGCAGUGGGGGAUUUUGCACAAUGGGCGCAAGCCUGAUGCAGCGACGUGGCGUGAGGGAUGAAGGCGUUCGGGUUGUAACCCUCUGUCGCUGGGUUGAAAGGCCAUGGUUGGGGUGUGGUUGAUUUGAACUGGUAAAGAAGAACCGGCUAACUACGUG
RNAcentral lists this ribosomal RNA (486 nucleotides) under uncultured bacterium. RNAcentral's name for it is "partial 16S ribosomal RNA". It matches the Rfam family "Bacterial small subunit ribosomal RNA", at positions 28 to 507 of the family's 1533-position model. The record is from RNAcentral.